This is a long non-coding RNA of Nylanderia fulva, 568 nucleotides long. RefSeq lists it as uncharacterized. NCBI's taxonomy places the organism in Eukaryota, Metazoa, Arthropoda, Insecta, Hymenoptera, Formicidae. The record is from RefSeq and is a predicted model, not a curated record.
AUAGUGCGCGCAUAGAGUUGCUGCUCGUGUUAUCUUUGCGGAAAAAACGCGCGGAAGAAAUGUGCGGAAGUGUUCGCAAUCGAAAACCGGUAAAUAUACACAGUGCAAUUUACGCGUAGUGUCGGAAGUGCCGUGUAAAGUGUCGCGCGUCGGGAGUGCCGUGUAAAAUUUCGCGUAUCGGGAGUGCCGUGUAAAGUGUCGGGCGUAAUUAUUCGUAUUUUCGUGAGUGUCGUAAGUGCUACCAAGAGAGGAGGAGGAGGCCCGGGGAGGCAUCGGGUGACAGCGAGGCAACUGCGAGAUCAAUAUGCUGUGUACUACAACUCCGUUUUGCACGUAUCGAUUCGAACAUCGCUGAACAUCUGAAUCAUCCAUGGAAGGAAUCGGUCGUGAUAUCAAAAAAAUACAUAAUUAAUUUAAAAUCGAGUCAAUAGAUAUAGAUUAGAUUUAAUCGAUAAGUUGGCGAUUAAUUAAUUAAUUUUUCGCACGAUUGUAAUAACGAUGCGAUGAAUCAUGGACAACGAUGUAAGCUUCGAACGUGCAAGACUCUGGAGAAUUGCGAGAUAAAUAA